This 684-nucleotide ribosomal RNA is filed under the name bacterium. RNAcentral's name for it is "bacterial SSU rRNA". It matches the Rfam family "Bacterial small subunit ribosomal RNA", at positions 75 to 760 of the family's 1533-position model. The record is from RNAcentral.
CGGACUUGUCCGGGGGCAAAGCCGCGAACGGGUGAGUAACACGUGGGUUAUCUGCCCCAAUGACCGGGACAACUCGAGGAAACUCGAGCUAAUACCGGAUGUGCUCUUCGGAGGAAAGGAAGCUUCGGCCUCCGCAUUGGGAUGAGCCCGCGGCGCAUUAGCUAGUUGGUGAGGUAACGGCUCACCAAGGCGACGAUGCGUAGCUGGUCUGAGAGGACGAUCAGCCACACUGGAACUGAGACACGGUCCAGACUCCUACGGGAGGCAGCAGUGGGGAAUCUUGCGCAAUGCACGAAAGUGUGACGCAGCAACGCCGCGUGCGGGAAGAAGGUCUUCGGAUCGUAAACCGCUUUCAGUUGGGACGAGGGUUACACGGUGAAUAGCCGGCGUGACUGACGGUACCUUCAGAAGAAGCCCCGGCUAACUACGUGCCAGCAGCCGCGGUAAUACGUAGGGGGCAAGCGUUAUCCGGAAUCAUUGGGCGUAAAGCGCGUGUAGGCGGUUCCGUAAGUCCGCUCUGAAAGCCCAGGGCUCAACCCUGGGAGGCGGGUGGAUACUACGGAACUGGAGUACGGAAGAGGAGAUUGGAAUUCCUGGUGUAGCGGUGAAAUGCGCAGAUAUCAGGAGGAACACCAACAGCGAAGGCAGAUCUCUGGGACGUUACUGACGCUGAGACGCGAAAGC